UACGUAGGCGGAAGAUUAAGUCAGUGGUGAAAUCCUGCAGCUUAACUGUAGAACUGUCAUUGAUACUGGUUUUCUUGAAUAUAGUUGAAGUAGGCGGAAUGUGUAAUGUAGCGGUGAAAUGCUUAGAUAUUACACAGAACACCGAUUGCGAAGGCAGCUUACUAAGCUAUGAUUGACGCUGAGGUACGAAAGCGUGGGGAGCGAACAGGAUUAGAUACCCUGGUAGUCC
This 229-nucleotide ribosomal RNA is filed under the name uncultured bacterium. Its description in RNAcentral is "partial 16S ribosomal RNA". It matches the Rfam family "Bacterial small subunit ribosomal RNA", at positions 568 to 796 of the family's 1533-position model. The record is from RNAcentral.